Molecule: ribosomal RNA, 253 nt
Filed under: uncultured bacterium
Lineage: Bacteria
Description: partial 16S ribosomal RNA
Rfam family: Bacterial small subunit ribosomal RNA
Source: RNAcentral
UACGAAGGGGGCUAGCGUUGCCCGGAAUCACUGGGCGUAAAGCGCACGUAGGCGGAUUCUUAAGUCAGGGGUGAAAUCCUGGAGCUCAACUCCAGAACUGCCUUUGAUACUGAAGAUCUUGAGUUCGGGAGAGGUGAGUGGAACUGCGAGUGUAGAGGUGAAAUUCGUAGAUAUUCGCAAGAACACCAGUGGCGAAGGCGGCUCACUGGCCCGAUACUGACGCUGAGGCACGAAAGCGUGGGGAGCAAACAGG